GCGGGGGUAACUCAGUUGGGAGAGUGUCAGACUGAAGAUAGAAACUUCAAUCAUCUUAUCUGAAAGCCGUGUGUUCGAUCCACACCCACCGCA
This is a non-coding RNA of Jackrogersella minutella, 93 nucleotides long. The record is from the annotation of a GenBank genome assembly. NCBI's taxonomy places the organism in Eukaryota, Fungi, Ascomycota, Sordariomycetes, Xylariales, Hypoxylaceae.